RNAcentral lists this transfer RNA (73 nucleotides) under Ailuropoda melanoleuca (giant panda). It matches the Rfam family "tRNA". From Rfam's summary of the family: Transfer RNA (tRNA) molecules are approximately 80 nucleotides in length. Their secondary structure includes four short double-helical elements and three loops (D, anti-codon, and T loops). Lineage: Eukaryota; Metazoa; Chordata; Mammalia; Carnivora; Ursidae. The record is from Rfam by way of RNAcentral.
GCCUGGCUGGUUCAGUUGGUAGAGCGUGUGCCUCUUGAUCUCAGGGUCAUGAGUGUAAGCCCCAUGUUGGGCA